This is a long non-coding RNA of Neopsephotus bourkii (Bourke's parrot), 1320 nucleotides long. RefSeq lists it as uncharacterized. Lineage: Eukaryota; Metazoa; Chordata; Aves; Psittaciformes; Psittacidae. The record is from RefSeq and is a predicted model, not a curated record. The transcript has 3 exons.
GGAGGCUACCCCUUGAAUGAACUUGCAGAGUCAGCCCAUCUGUCUCAGUUACUUUGCAAAAGAUGCUGGCUUUCAUCUCAGAUGAAUUCUACAUUGCUGGCUUUAAGCUACAGGUGGAUGAAUCACUUCUAGAAGCAGAAGAAACAAAAGGACAGCAAAUCUUAAGAUUCGAUCCAUUCCAUGAAUAUUUUUCCCAAGCAGAAAUGUAAAUAUUUUGUUUCUAGCAGAUAAAAAUGAAGAGCUGCGGCUGUGGUUCAGAACCACUCUUCCAGCACUACGGGCUAAAUACCUACAGAGACAGUGCAGGACUUCCUAACGGCCCUUCAAGUGUGAGAAGCUGUCCGAUAGGAUGAAGUCAGACUGUCAUAAAUAGAUGCUGAGUGCUGUAAUGUGACAGAUCAGGUCAAACAUUUUUAUUUUGUCAGUUUGAAUGAUAUUGCAGACCUGAAGGCUUCCGACUGGCUGAGUUUUAAUCACUGAGGUAAUCUUCCGUGUGCGUUUCUUUGCAACACUGCGUUGGAAAUUGCAUGGCACUGAGCACAGGCUGUUACCAAUUCCAUUUAUGAGAAAAACCUCUGCCUAAUUUUAGUGCAUAGUGGCUUACCAGAGACAUGAGAUGUAAGUUUGACUUCAGAUUCAUGCCAUGUGCUGAAAUCACUAAGCCUUGGGAAUUAGGCAAAUUCAGUGAGGUUUAAGGACUCAGCUUGUGGCUGACACUUGAAUGGAACACACAAGCAGAGUUAUACUCCCUGAAUUUUGGAUAUAGCAAGGAGGAUUGUGAAAGUUUCCUUGCCAUGAGGGUGUAGGGUAGUCAGUGACUGCACUAUUGUACUAGUUAUCUCACUGUGUGAGGAGGACUAAUAAGGGCACAGCAAUUAUGAAAACACAAGGGUGAAGUACCUAAGUACACUCCUGAGUCUAAAGUGUGGGAUACUUUGUGGCCCAUGGCAGGAUCAAUCUUCUAAUGCUCACUGAAUACUAAAUUUAAAUGAGCAGGAGUUAUUCUUCAGAAAGUCUUCUUUUCAGAUUGCUAAAAUACAUUGUUUGGAGUGGUCUUAAUAGAGUCAGAAAAUAGUUCAGUUGCUAAAUUAACAUUAUGACUCAGUACAUUACCUCAGACACUGACAUGAUAGGAAUAAGAGAAGGAAGUACUUUGACGCAUGAUAUGGAGUUGCACUAAGAAGUACAAGAGAUCAAUGGACUCAGAAGACAUAAACUUACGUGUUUGCUUUUAAAACCUUGUGAGAUCUGAAGAGGAAAAAUGUUUUGGUUGUUGUUCUUUACUGACACUCUUGUCUAUUUUAUUUUGGAAAAGGGGCU